ACGGGUGAGUAACGCGUGGGAAUCUGCCUGCUAGAGGGGGACAACCCGAGGAAACUCGGGCUAAUACCGCAUAGACUCGAGAGAGUAAAGCUGGGGGUUAAAUCCUGGCACUAGCAGAGGAGCCUGCGUCCGAUUAGCUAGUUGGUUAGGUAAAGGCUGACCAAGGCGAUGAUCGGUAGCUGUUCUGAGAGGAUGGACAGCCACACUGGGACUGAGACACGGCCCAGACUCCUACGGGAGGCAGCAGUGGGGAAUAUUGGACAAUGGGGGGAACCCUGAUCCAGCAAUGCCGCGUGUGUGAAGAAGGCCUUCGGGUUGUAAAGCACUUUAGUUGGGGAGGAAGGUGUAUUGUUUAAGAGAUGAUACAUUUGACUGUACCCAAAGAAUAAGCACCGGCUAACUCUGUGCCAGCAGCCGCGGUAAUACAGAGGGUGCGAGCGUUAAUCGGAAUUACUGGGCGUAAAGGGCGCGUAGGCGGAUGAUCGUGAGAGGUGUGAAAUCCCUGGGCUUAACCUAGGAAGGUCACCUGAGACUGGUCGUCUGGAGUGCUGUAGAGGGUAGUGGAAUUUCCGGUGU
RNAcentral lists this ribosomal RNA (576 nucleotides) under uncultured bacterium. RNAcentral describes it as "bacterial SSU rRNA". It matches the Rfam family "Bacterial small subunit ribosomal RNA", at positions 102 to 676 of the family's 1533-position model. The record is from RNAcentral.